RNAcentral lists this ribosomal RNA (503 nucleotides) under uncultured bacterium. RNAcentral describes it as "bacterial SSU rRNA". It matches the Rfam family "Bacterial small subunit ribosomal RNA", at positions 571 to 1071 of the family's 1533-position model. The record is from RNAcentral.
GUAGGCGGUUUGUCGCGUCUGCUGUGAAAGGCCGGAGCUUAACUCCGUGUAUUGCAGUGGGUACGGGCAGACUAGAGUGCAGUAGGGGAGACUGGAAUUCCUGGUGUAGCGGUGGAAUGCGCAGAUAUCAGGAGGAACACCGAUGGCGAAGGCAGGUCUCUGGGCUGUAACUGACGCUGAGAAGCGAAAGCAUGGGGAGCGAACAGGAUUAGAUACCCUGGUAGUCCAUGCCGUAAACGUUGGGCACUAGGUGUGGGGAACAUUCCACGUUUUCCGCGCCGUASCUAACGCAUUAAGUGCCCCGCCUGGGGAGUACGGCCGCAAGGCUAAAACUCAAAGAAAUUGACGGGGGCCCGCACAAGCGGCGGAGCAUGCGGAUUAAUUCGAUGCAACGCGAAGAACCUUACCAAGGCUUGACAUAUACUGGACCGCAUCAGAGAUGGUGUUUCCCUUCGGGGCUGGUAUACAGGUGGUGCAUGGUUGUCGUCAGCUCGUGUCGUGAG